UUCCAGAAUCCAUUGUUUAUGAACCACAUUGAAAUAUCUUAAGUUUGAUGCUAUCGUGACGAUGUAUGAGCUUCUGUUCACAUGAAUGUUCCUGGCUGUAGCCCCCCUCACAAGAAGACCAGAUAGCACCUGUUCUUAGAUAAGACACCAGCGUGAAAACUCUAGAAUUUGGGAGUGAGCCUGAAACACUCCGCUGGGAAGAAAGACCAAGGAUGGUACCGGCAUGAAAACAGACACAUGGAACCAGUGGACCAGAAUAGAGAGUCCAGGAAUGAACCCACACAGAUGCGGUCAGCUAACAUUUGACAGGGGAACCAAGAACACUUAAUGGGAUAUGACACCAAAACUAUAAGCAAUAAGAGUAAAAACAAACAAGUGGGACUACAUCAAACUAAGAAGAUUCUGCACAGCAAAAGAAAUGAUCAACAUGAAAAGGCAACCUAUGAGAUGAGAGAAAAUUUUGUAAAUCCUCUAUCUGUUAAGGGGUUAAUAUCCAAAAUAUAUAAGGGUAUUGCCUAAUAUAGCAAAACCCCCAAAUAAUCCAAUUAAAAAAUGGACAAAGAACCUGAAGAGACAUUUUUUCCAAGGAAGAUACCCAAGGGCUAACAGGCACAUGAAAAAGUGCUUGCUAUUACUAAUUACCACAGAAAUGCAAAUCAAAACCACAGUGAGUUAUCACCUGACACCUGUUAGAAUGACUAUUAUCAAAAAGACAAGAAAUAACAAGAGUUGGUGAGGAUGUGGAGAAUAGGGGACUUUUGUGCCCUGUUGGUGGGAAUAUAAUUUGGUGCAGCCACUAUGGAAAAUGGAAUGGAGGUUCCUCAAAAAAAUAAAAAAUAGAACGACCGUAUGAUCCAGCAAUCCCACUUCUGGGUUAUAUCUGAGGGAAAUGAAGUCACUAUGUCAUAGAGCUAUGUGCACUCUCCUGUUCACUGAAACCUUAUUUAUGAUAGCUAAGACAUGGAAACAACGUAGCUGUCCGUUAAAGCCUGAAUGAGUAAAGAAAAUGGUGUGUAAUGGGAUAUUAUUUAGCCACAAAAAGGAAGGAUGUCUUGCCAUUUGUGACAGUGUGAAUCUGGAGGGCAUUAUCUAAGUGACAUAAGGCAGAGAAAGACAAAUACUAUAUGAUAUUACUUAUAUGUGGAAUCCAAAAAAUACGGAACCCAUAGAAACAAAGUAGAUUGCUGGUUGCCGGGGAAAGGGUGGGGGAAAUGGCUGAAGAUGGUCAAAGAGUAC
RNAcentral lists this long non-coding RNA (1236 nucleotides) under Mustela putorius furo (domestic ferret). RNAcentral's name for it is "lncRNA (ENSMPUG00000029879.1)". Lineage: Eukaryota; Metazoa; Chordata; Mammalia; Carnivora; Mustelidae. The record is from RNAcentral.